AGAUAGCUCAGUCGGUAGAGCAGGGGACUGAAAAUCCCCGUGUCGGUGGUUCGAUUCCGCCUCU
This 64-nucleotide transfer RNA is filed under the name Clostridioides difficile. RNAcentral describes it as "tRNA-Phe". It matches the Rfam family "tRNA", at positions 5 to 66 of the family's 71-position model. From Rfam's summary of the family: Transfer RNA (tRNA) molecules are approximately 80 nucleotides in length. Their secondary structure includes four short double-helical elements and three loops (D, anti-codon, and T loops). Lineage: Bacteria; Bacillati; Bacillota; Clostridia; Peptostreptococcales; Peptostreptococcaceae. The record is from RNAcentral.